This 496-nucleotide ribosomal RNA is filed under the name uncultured bacterium. RNAcentral describes it as "partial 16S ribosomal RNA". It matches the Rfam family "Bacterial small subunit ribosomal RNA", at positions 28 to 506 of the family's 1533-position model. The record is from RNAcentral.
GAUGAACGCUGGCGGCGUGCCUAAUACAUGCAAGUCGAGCGAACAGACGAGGAGCUUACUCCUCUGACGUUAGCGGCGGACGGGUGAGUAACACGUGGAUAACCUACCUAUAAGACUGGGAUAACUUCGGGAAACCGGAGCUAAUACCGGAUAACAUGUUGAACCGCAUGGUUCAACAGUGAAAGACGGUCUUGCUGUCACUUAUAGAUGGAUCCGCGUCGCAUUAGCUAGUUGGUAAGGUAACGGCUUACCAAGGCAACGAUGCGUAGCCGACCUGAGAGGGUGAUCGGCCACACUGGACCUGAGACACGGUCCAGACUCCUACGGGAGGCAGCAGUAGGGAAUCUUCCGCAGUGGGCGAAAGCCUGACGGAGCAACGCCGCGUGAGUGAAGAAGGUCUUCGGAUCGUAAAACUCUGUUAUUAGGGAAGAACAAAUGUGUAAGUAACUAUGCACGUCUUGACGGUACCUAAUCAGAAAGCCACGGCUAACUACGU